CAUCUCAGAGCUGGCUGAGCAUUGCUGUCCUCAAGGACCCCAGUCCUCUGUCACUUUCUCUUGUAAUUUUGUAUAUGAUGGCGUGUGCUGGGAACUGGAAAUGUAACCACUGCCUGAAAUGGGGAGCUGAAUGGAGAGAGAGAUGUAGUGUGCUGUGUUGUGAAGAAUAGGAAUGAGUAUGACAGCCAAGAUGAUACUAGUGGAGAGACUGGAAAAGAAUGAGGAAGGAUUUGAGAAAAUUCCAAAGUAGAAAACAUAGCAGAAAUUCCCGUAGAAAAGACAAGGUGGUGUGGAACAAGAGAGAGGAAGGAGAGGAGGAGGAGGAGGAGGAAGUGAUUGCUAAGCACAGCUAAUAGCAGCACUGAGGAGUUUUAAUUUACAGUCUGCUGUAAUUAACCACAGUUCCAUUCCAAUGCAUUUCAGGAAUGAAUGUGGCAUGUAGUUUUUCUUUUGGCUGUUGUGUUGCUGGUGCAGAGUAGGCUGAAUUUCAAGCCAAACAGAGUGGACUCCAUUUAUGCUCAAAGAACAUCUUGCAGGCCCUGAGCAAACCUGUUAAUAAUAUCAUUUGUCGUUGGAGAUUGCACUGCACACGGAUUGCAGGCUUUGCUGUGGUAGACGAGGAAUGCAUUCUGAUUCUGCACUGUACAAAGCUGUUCACAGUAACUGUCCAAGCACGAGCUCCUGUCACCUGGCAGCAUGGUGUUGUCCCAGACGCUCUGUAGUGCUGGGGCAGACCUUGACCUCAUUGGUAUGACCCACAGAGGCUCCUUCUAAAUCCCCCUGGGGGACUUUCCAAGUAGGGAAGGGGCUGAUCUGUGUCUUGUGCGUUCUUUAUAUCUGAAGGACGAGAGGCAACUAUGGAGGGUUCCUAAAAUUCAUCUGAACUUAGUUGUCCUCUACUUCUUUGUGGGAUGCUGGUGCCAUGUGCUUGAGAGCUGCUUUGGAUGCUGUUGAUUCUUCUGAGCAGGUUGGGUGGCUUUUACAUGCUGGCUUGCAGAACACCGAGAUCUUAGAGUGGCAUCUUUCAAAGCCCUUGUGCAAUUAAAAACCAACCAAACAAAUAACAACAAAAAACAAAACAAACCCACAAAAACCCCAGAAAAAUGGAAACCGGUGGCUGCAAUUUCAGUUAAACAACGGUUUCCUAUCCUGUUUAAAAAACAACAACAAAAAAC
This is a non-coding RNA of Coturnix japonica (Japanese quail), 1175 nucleotides long. The record is from RefSeq and is a predicted model, not a curated record. NCBI's taxonomy places the organism in Eukaryota, Metazoa, Chordata, Aves, Galliformes, Phasianidae.